AGCAGCCGCGGUAAUUCCAGCUCCAAUAGCGUAUAUUAAAGUUGUUGCAGUUAAAAAGCUCGUAGUUGAAUUUCGGGAUCAAUAUAUCGGUCGUGCCUUGGUACGUACUGGUAUCAUUGGUUUCUCCUUUCUGACGAACCAUGAUGUCAUUAAUUUGGUGUUAUGGGAAGUUAGGACUGUUACUUUGAAAAAUUAGAGUGUUUAAAGCAGGCUUUAGCUUGAAUACAUUAGCAUGGAAUAAUGAAAUAGGACGUUCGAACCUAUUUUGUUGGUUUCUAGGAUCAACGUAAUGAUUAAUAGGGAUAGUUGGGGGCAUUAGUAUUCAAUUGUCAGAGGUGAAAUUCUUGGAUUUAUUGAAGACUAACUACUGCGAAAGCAUUUGCCAAGGAUGUUUUCAUUAAUCAAGAACGAAAGUUAGGGGAUCGAAGACGAUCAGAUACCGUCGUAGUC
Molecule: ribosomal RNA, 450 nt
Filed under: uncultured Glomus
Lineage: Eukaryota; Fungi; Glomeromycota; Glomeromycetes; Glomerales; Glomeraceae
Description: SSU rRNA
Rfam family: Eukaryotic small subunit ribosomal RNA
Source: RNAcentral